GUGUCACUUCCACAUAGCUUCUCACAGCCUCUGUUUAAAAACCCUUUUGUUACUAGAGAAUUUACAAAUAAUGCCACUAUAACUUAAUCAUACGACCACCUUUACAUUAAAAUGUUUCUAACAAUUAAUUAACCGAGCCCUUUGUAAUAUGUUUUACACCGAACCAUAUAUUGAUGAUUUAAAAGAUUCUUCUUUCUUAAUCACUUCAAAGUUCAAACCGAAAUCAAGAGUCGACCGUU
RNAcentral lists this long non-coding RNA (239 nucleotides) under Brassica rapa (field mustard). Its description in RNAcentral is "long non-coding RNA (BRAP_LNC007845)". Lineage: Eukaryota; Viridiplantae; Streptophyta; Magnoliopsida; Brassicales; Brassicaceae. The record is from RNAcentral.